This 71-nucleotide transfer RNA is filed under the name Heliconius melpomene (postman butterfly). RNAcentral's name for it is "tRNA HMEL017492". It matches the Rfam family "tRNA". Rfam says of the family: Transfer RNA (tRNA) molecules are approximately 80 nucleotides in length. Their secondary structure includes four short double-helical elements and three loops (D, anti-codon, and T loops). The record is from RNAcentral. Lineage: Eukaryota; Metazoa; Arthropoda; Insecta; Lepidoptera; Nymphalidae.
GCAUCGGUGGUUCAGUGGUAGAAUGCUCGCCUGCCACGCGCGCGGCCCGGGUUCGAUUCUCGGCCGAUGUA